UAUAUUAUGCUAGUUUAACAUUUGUCAAUUGUACAGUUUUGCCGGUCAUUAUCCCGUCAUGGUCAACUGGUAAAAACCUUCCAUGGAGUAAAAGUAUAUAUUGACAAAUUUGCACCAAUAACCCACGUCAUAUUCUAAUCCAAUAUUUUGAUUUGGAACCUUUCAUUUUCAGCCGUCUCUCUCUCUUUUCUUUGGUUGUAGGCUUAUCAGCAUUUUUAGGACAUUUUGUAUUCUGACACGCAUGUAUAUGAAUUCCAUAUUUUCAAAAGGGCUCGAGAUGCUUAGUGGGUUUUCCCAAUUUAGAUUAGACCUUAGUGGUUCUUACUCAGAAGGUGUCUCCGUCCACUUCUUGUGCUGGUAUCUCUCUGUUUGGGUAGAACACUCUUUUCGAUGUAUUUUGACAAAUUGUUUAGCCGCCCGUUCAUCUUCAGCGCAAGAGCACCCAUCAGUAAGCUAUCACGCAAUCUUGAAAGAGUGGUUGUUUUUUCUCUAGGAACCCUUAAAUUCACUCAAUAUUUGAGAUUGGUGAAUCUUCAACACAUUCUAAACCUAAUGUGCAAGCUUCCUCUUCUUCUUCGGGAAUAGCUCAACAACAACUGAAAAAGCUUCGACAGCAGAUUGCAACAAUUGGGGCUACCCUAGGGACGACACCUCCUGCUUCUUAGUGUCCUCACGUAAUGCCUUGAUCGCAUAGUAGCAAUUGAAAAGGCUUCGACAGCAGAUUGCAACAAUUGGGGCUAUCCUAGGGACGACAUCCAACACUCUUGUAUCGAUGUAUUCUGAGAAUCUGGUAACUUCGUUCCCUACUUUAUCUUCUUCCUAUGUGAAUGAGAAUGCUAGUUCAACCACACUUGAAGCUAUUGUCCAAUCAGGUAUAUCUUAGCCCUUUAGUCUCAUUAGUAUUAGUGGUAAGAAUCCUUGGAUCCUAGACUUUGGUAACACAAUGAUAGAAAUAAAACAUACACCGCAGAAAUCAAAUCAAGAUUCUACCCUAAUUGCACUUAAUUAACAUGAAACCUUAAAUCGUAAAUUAAUUUGAAAUUAAGUUUUUUUAAGGAAACUUACAUUUGAAGCUCUGAUUGUUGCUUGAACCACCGUUAGGAUUCUGCUAUCCUCCAGACUCGAAAUUGGGUUGGACACAUUAGAUGAAAGAACCGAGAGCGAGAAAGAGAUGGAAAUGGAAUUAUGGAAUAGGGUUGGGCCAGUAUAUUUUGAUUUAAAAAAUUACAAUGGAAAAACUAGUACUCAAAUUUUUGUCUUAAAAAAUUCCAACUCUUUAUAAAAGACCCAAGUGUCUAAUUUAUAGUGAAUUUACAUGCAAAGUUGUAUGUAGAUGCAAGUUCAUGGACCAACAACACAUAACCCACUAACAAUUAGUGGACUUAAUGUUUUCAUAGUGUGGCAACACCUAGUCCACUAUAGUUAAUGGAUUAUCUAUUAAAAUGUUGGAUUUUUCCCUUAAUUUUUGUCGAAGGGCAAUAAUUUCAUUUGGUUAAAGUUGAACUUUAUCUUUUUAAACCAAAAGUCAACAUUUUGACUCUUUAUAAUUUUGGCCAUCUGGGCUAAUUUCGACCUCCCGAGCAUGAAUCUGAAUUCAUCUUCUCAAGAUUCAAAUCACAUUUGAAUAUAUUGUCGGUCAAGAUUUGACUUUUCACGACUUUGACUAUUUUCAUCAUUUUCGAGCUUUCGAGUGUGAAUCCACAUUUAUAUCUUUAAAUGUAGUAACUCAAACUAAACUAAUCUACACUCCAAACAAAAAUUGUUAUAACUCAACUAUAGUAGUGUAUGACCAUAAUAAUCGACUUCUCGUCCCAAACAUCUCGAAAGUGGUUUUACAUGGAAACUUCUUAAAUAAGUUUCGAUUAAAGAUCGAAUUCUACUAUAUAAAAUAAGAGUUGCAAACUUUCUUUUUUAUGUAGAAAGAAUAAACUCUUUAUAAGAAAAAACUCUCACAACUCAGGUGACUUGGAGUGGUUUAGUAAUCACGGUUCCAUCUAUUUGUAGUUUAAAGAAAUUUGACCUGGAAGCAUUCCAAUGACCCAAAAUUAACUUUUGAUUAGUAUGUAAGAUCUAAUACCAUGUAUUGGUCAUGAACAAAGUGUAAGAUUCAAUAACUACGAUGGUCAUCCAAGGAUUUUUUUCAUACUAUGAAUUUAUAACGUGUAGACAAGCACAUAUAGUGUGUACUAUAUUCUUGUUUAGCAAUAACCUCACUUCUACGGCAGGAAAAAAACAGAAAAAUUAUAAAAGAAUAAAAUAAAAUAAAACAAUAAUAACUAGGAACAUAAGAAUUUAGGUAAAAAAAUUCACAACUCCAAGAAAGACCAUUGACCAGCAAAAGUCCACGAUCAUACAUAAUUGUCUCUCUUAACUUCAAUUAAAAAAUUACUCUCUUAAAUAUUUUAACUAAUAAAAUUAGAGAAUAAAAAAGGAAUUUAAUUAGGGUUUUUUAUUUCUUUAGGUUGUAUGUACUUAAGUAAGUUAAGGUCUCAGAAGUUAAGGUCUCAGCUGAAAUGCGUACUUAACAUUCUCUUUUAAAACAAAUUUAGAAGAUUAAUAGUUUUAUAUGAAGAUUAUUUUAUUUAAAACUCAUGAAGAUACGAAAGGAGCUGACAAAAUAAGAAAAAAAAAAAAAAAAAAAAGAAAUCCCAAAACGUUUUUGAUGUGGUGAUGAGCAUGUGAUGUAUCGAUGGGAAA
This is a long non-coding RNA of Cucumis melo (muskmelon), 2697 nucleotides long. RefSeq lists it as uncharacterized. The record is from RefSeq and is a predicted model, not a curated record. Lineage: Eukaryota; Viridiplantae; Streptophyta; Magnoliopsida; Cucurbitales; Cucurbitaceae. The transcript is spliced from 3 exons.